This 663-nucleotide ribosomal RNA is filed under the name Poa mulleri. RNAcentral's name for it is "eukaryotic LSU rRNA". The stretch from base 278 to 436 matches the Rfam family "5.8S ribosomal RNA". The record is from RNAcentral. Lineage: Eukaryota; Viridiplantae; Streptophyta; Magnoliopsida; Poales; Poaceae.
GGAAGGAGAAGUCGUAACAAGGUUUCCGUAGGUGAACCUGCGGAAGGAUCAUUGUCGUGACCCUGACCAAAAUAGACCGUGAACGCGUCAUCUUGCCUGCCAGCGGUGGCCCUGNCCGUCGCUUGGCCAAAGUCCUCGAUAACCUCCUCUCCUCGGAGUGGGGGCUCGGGGUAAAAGAACCCACGGCGCCGAAGGCGUCAAGGAACACUGUGCCUAACCCGGGGAAGCGGCUGGCUUGCUAGCUGCCCCUCGUGUUGCAAUGCUAUUUAAUCCACACGACUCUCGGCAACNGGAUAUCUCGGCUCUCGCAUCGAUGAAGNAACGUAGCGAAAUGCGAUACCUGGUGUGNAAUUGCAGAAUCCCGCGAACCAUCGAGUCUUUGAACGCAAGUUGCGCCCGAGGCCACUUGGCCGAGGGCACGCCUGCCUGGGCGUCACGCCAAACACGCUCCCACCCCUCAUUGGGUGAUGGGAUGCGGCAUGUGGCUCCCCGUCUUGCAAGGGGCGGUGGGCCGAAGAUGCGGCUGCCGGCGUAUCGUGCCGGACACAGCGCGUGGUGGGCGAACUCGCUUUACUUACCGCAGUGCAUCCGGCCCAUAGCCGACGUGAUGGCCUUAAGGACCCUAUGAACGGAGCGCAUGACGCUCCGACCGCGACCCCAGGU